RNAcentral lists this ribosomal RNA (376 nucleotides) under uncultured bacterium. RNAcentral describes it as "bacterial SSU rRNA". It matches the Rfam family "Bacterial small subunit ribosomal RNA", at positions 523 to 898 of the family's 1533-position model. The record is from RNAcentral.
AUACGGAGGGUGCAAGCGUUAAUCGGAAUUACUGGGCGUAAAGCGCACGCAGGCGGUCUGUCAAGUCGGAUGUGAAAUCCCCGGGCUCAACCUGGGAACUGCAUUCGAAACUGGCAGGCUAGAGUCUUGUAGAGGGGGGUAGAAUUCCAGGUGUAGCGGUGAAAUGCGUAGAGAUCUGGAGGAAAACCGGUGGCGAAGGCGGCCCCCUGGACAAAGACUGACGCUCAGGUGCGAAAGCGUGGGGAGCAAACAGGAUUAGCUACCCUGGUAGUCCUCGCCGUAAACGAUGUCGAUUUGGAGGUUGUGCCCUUGAGGCGUGGCUUCCGGAGCUAACGCGUUAUUUCGCCCGCCUGGGGCGUACGGCCGCAAGGUUAAA